This 1381-nucleotide ribosomal RNA is filed under the name uncultured bacterium. RNAcentral describes it as "bacterial SSU rRNA". It matches the Rfam family "Bacterial small subunit ribosomal RNA", at positions 47 to 1375 of the family's 1533-position model. The record is from RNAcentral.
UUUUUUUAUGGAGGAAAUAAUUUAUAUUUUUUAAAGGGGAGAAAAAAGGGGAAGAAUGGGGGGGGAGGGCGAAAAAAAAUUUUCUUCCUCAAAGAUAUUUGGGCCCCAAAAUUGGGGAAAACCCCUUUUAAAACCCCCAAAAUAUUCUCGGGGGCCUCUUGGGGGGCCCCUUGGGUGAAAAAGGGUUAAAGGUUGCUUUUGGGUGAAACUUUGGGAUCGAUUUGUUUGGUGUGAAGGGUUAUACCGUUACAAGCCUGCCAAGGCGGAGGUGGGUUGCGGGUAUGAUGAGAUGAUCAGUCACACGGGAACUGGGGCUACGUCCCAGACUCAUGCAGGAGGUAGCAUUGAGGAUUUUGCACGAUGGCCGAAAGCCUGCGCAGCUGCGCGACUCGGUGUAGUGAUGAGUUAUAUGCAAAUUAAAGUCAUGGUUGUAGGAGAGAGAUGUUCGAUGUUAUACCAUCUGUUACUGACGGUACCUGACAAGAAAGGACCGGCUAACUUCGUGCCAGCAGCCGCGGUAAUACGAGGGGUCCUAGCGUUGUCCGGAUUUACUGGGCGUAAAGGGUACGUAGGCGUUUUAAUAAGUUAUAUGUUAAAUAUCUUAGCUUAACUAAGAAAGUGCAUAUAAAACUGUUAAAAUAGAGUUUGAGAGAGGAACGCAGAAUUCAUGGUGGAGCGGUGACAUGCGUAGAUAUCAUGAGGAAAGUCAAAUGCGAAGGCAGCCUUCUGGCUCAAAACUGACGCUGAGGUACGAAAGCGUGGGGAGCGAACAGGAUUAGAUACCCUGGUAGUCCACGCCGUAAACGAUGAGUAUUUGGUGCUGGGGGAUUCGACCCUUUCAGUGCCGUAGCUAACGCGAUAAAUACUCCGCCUGGGGACUACGAUCGCAAGAUUGAAACUCAAAGGAAUUGACGGGGACCCGCACAAGCGGUGGAACAUGUGGUUUAAUUCGAUGAUACGCGAAGAACCUUACCUGGGUUUGACAUGUCAGAGAAAGUUUUCCGAAAGGAAAUCCUUUUAAUAAUUUAUUAUUAAACUCUGUCGCAGGUGAUGCAUGGCUGUCGUCAGCUCGUGUCGUGAGAUGUUAGGUUAAGUCCUGCAACGAGCGCAACCCCUAUAUUUAGUUGCCAGCACAUAAUGGUGGGGACUCUAAAUAGACUGCCCGGAAUAACCGGGAGGAAGGUGGGGAUGAUGUCAAGUCAGUAUGUCCCUUAUACCCAGGGCUACACACGUGUUACAAUGGAUGGUACAAAAAGUAGCAAUUCCGCGAGGAGGAGCCAAUCUUUAAAACUAUCCCCAGUUCAGAUUGAAGUCUGAAAUUCGACUUCAUGAAGCAGGAAUCGCUAGUAAUCGUAGGUCAGCACACUANNCUGAAUCCCCC